GGUAACAGGUCCAGCUUGCUGGAUGCUGACGAGCGGCGGACGGGUGAGUAAUGCAUAGGAAUUUACCCGGUAGUGGGGGAUAACCUGGGGAAACCCAGGCUAAUACCGCAUACGUCCUACGGGAGAAAGGGGGCUUCGGCUCCCGCUAUUGGAUGAGCCUAUGUCGGAUUAGCUGGUUGGUGAGGUAAUGGCUCACCAAGGCGACGAUCCGUAGCUGGUCUGAGAGGAUGAUCAGCCACAUCGGGACUGAGACACGGCCCGAACUCCUACGGGAGGCAGCAGUGGGGAAUAUUGGACAAUGGGGGCAACCCUGAUCCAGCCAUGCCGCGUGUGUGAAGAAGGCCCUCGGGUUGUAAAGCACUUUCAGCGAGGAAGAACGCCUGUCGGUUAAUACCCGGCAGGAGAGACAUCACUCGCAGAAGAAGCACCGGCUAACUCCGUGCCAGCAGCCGCGGUAAUACGGAGGGUGCAAGCGUUAAUCGGAAUUACUGGGCGUAAAGCGCGCGUAGGUGGCUUGAUAAGCCGGUUGUGAAAGCCCCGGGCUCAACCUGGGAACGGCAUCCGGAACUAUGAGGCUAGAGUGCAGGAGAGGAAGGUAGAAUUCCCGGUGUAGCGGUGAAAUGCGUAGAGAUCGGGAGGAAUACCAGUGGCGAAGGCGGCCUUCUGGACUGACACUGACACUGAGGUGCGAAAGCGUGGGUAGCAAACAGGAUUAGAUACCCUGGUAGUCCACGCCGUAAACGAUGUCGACCAGCCGUUGGGUGCCUAGCGCACUUUGUGGCGAAGUUAACGCGAUAAGU
Molecule: ribosomal RNA, 800 nt
Filed under: Halomonas sp. K42
Lineage: Bacteria; Pseudomonadati; Pseudomonadota; Gammaproteobacteria; Oceanospirillales; Halomonadaceae
Description: bacterial SSU rRNA
Rfam family: Bacterial small subunit ribosomal RNA
Source: RNAcentral